This is a long non-coding RNA of Brassica napus (rape), 2150 nucleotides long. RefSeq lists it as uncharacterized. The record is from RefSeq and is a predicted model, not a curated record. Lineage: Eukaryota; Viridiplantae; Streptophyta; Magnoliopsida; Brassicales; Brassicaceae. The transcript is spliced from 2 exons.
CGCACCGCUUAUUCUACUUUUACCAUUCUACUUUUGGUUAUGUACCGCACUUGCUUUUUGUUACCAUUCACAUUUUAUUUUGUACCGCUUUUUUUUUGUUUAACCGCUAAUAAUCCGCAGUUUACAAAACCGCAGUUAAACCGUACCGCACUAUCCAAUCCGCUUGUCCCGCACCGCUCAAUCCGCUAUUACCAUUCGGAGCCUUAGGCUCUGAAAGGUAACAGCGGGUUGAGCGGGGCAGAACAAUCGGAUUGGUUAGUUAGUGCAGUGCGGUUUAUGUGCGGUUUGUGUUUGAAAAACGCAUACUGCGGGACAAGUGCGGUUCGUCUAAAAAAACGGUUUAAAACUAAAUGUGAAUGGUGACAUGUGUAAUGAAUAGUAUAACUGCGGGAUACAUAAUAUAUUUAUAUGUUAUAAACUAAAAAAUCAGUAAUAAUAAUAUAAUUUUUAAUAUAUAUAUAUAUAUAUUAUUUAAAAAAAAUAUUUAAUAUAUCUGAAAUAUGAAUUUUGAUAUGUUAUUACUGAGAUUUAAUAGUCAACAUCUUUUUUUAAAGUAUAAUUGAGCUAGUUGUCUUUAAAUAAUUUAAGUUUGUUAUUUAAACAUAGAAAUGUUAAAACCAGUAUUAAAAUUUUACUAUUGAAUCUUUAUUAUGCAAUUUUAUAAAUAAUAAUAAUUGUUAAUUUUUAUCAAAAAUACUAAAAUAAAUAAAAACGUGUUGGUUUAAGUGCUAAAGGGGUUUCAACUGGCUACUACUAGCUAGGUUCGACUCAUACUGAUCACCUAAUUGCACCUUUAACGAUAGAAUAACGCGUACGCGGAUGCAAAUCUUCGUGUGAUUAUUCUUUUGGGAUCCCACAUUUAUCAAUAUGAAUUAUUAAAAGUCAUAAAAUAAAUACACCUGUUAAAAUAUACAUUUGUAAUUAUAUUUUAUUUAUUUUAGUAUAAAAAUUAAAUUGGUGAAAUUGCAAAGUAUAAGAAAAUACUUAAAAAAAAAAAAAAGAAGUUAAGCAAACCACACCUUAAACAAGUAUUUUGACCGCACAUUGCGUUCUAGCUACCAUGAUUAAAAAGUAAAACUUUUGAUUUAUUUUUUAUUUUAAUUUUCUCUAAGUCCAAGAGCGCAAAAAGUGUGAAUGGUGACAUUUUAUUGUCAACCACUCCUUCCCGCUACAGAACGCCAUUAACAUUCAUACCCUUAAUGAGUCAUCUAAGUAACAAUAUACCGUUCGAUUUUGAGUUAUAUUGGAUCAAUUCACAUACCCCGAAGUUAAAUCUAAAAUAUAAAAGAAAAUAUAAUAAAUAUAUAUUUAUUUAUAUAAAAUUGAGUAUUUAAGGUACUUAUUUAAAUUUUAAAUACCUAUCUUUGGAUAUCAAAUCCAAAUAAAUAUGAAAUUGAAUAUUUGAAGUACAUAUUUAUGUUUCAAAUAUUUCUAUUGCAUGCUAAUUUGGACAAUCGGAUCGGCUUCUUCGGAUAUUAUUUUAGGUUUCUCGGUUUGUCGAUUUUUUCAGAUUAUUCGUUCGGGUUAGGUUAAUAACACUUCGGGUUCGAAUAUAUUUUGUAACAUCCUACAAAAUCCAUUGAGUAUUUUACAUUUUGGACCGGGUAUGGAACGGGUUUGGUUUAGAUUUUGGAUUACAGAUUUUAUGUCCAUACCUACCUGAUGGUUUUUGCUUUGUUACUGGUGGUGGUGGUUGAGGCGUCUCGGUGCAAGUUCAGAUCCAUUGAGGAAAAGAUCCAGUUUGCUUCCUCAAGAGCGUUUUUUUCUCUUUCUUUUGUCGGUCACCUUCUCCAAAUCUAUUGUCGUCACAAGUGGUGAAGGGGAGUAGCGGUGAUUCGGUGUGUUGCAGUUUGUUCGCUUUAGAGGUACUUGAAUUGUUAGGACUCACGAAUCCGGAUGGUGGUGAUGGUCGUCUUGGUGUUCUCUUGUAUCAUGUUCUUUCGGAAGUGAUGUGGUCUCUUCCGACUUUUGUGGUGGCUCGAUGGUUUGUCUCUUCUCUGCUUGCCGGUGGCUAGUUGGAGGGUUCAUUUUCGCACUGCACGACGGCUAGGGUUUCUUAAAACCAUUUUCUUUACAUUUAUUUUUAAAUCAAAAUCUGAUUAAAAAUCUAAUUAACUUUUAAUGAAUCCACUUAUUUAUAGAUUCUACCA